CUGGUUGAUCCUGCCAGUGAUCAUAUGCUUGUCUCAAAGCUUAAGCCAUGCAAGUCUAAGUUCAGGCUUGUUCCUUUCGGGGAGCGAGCCGAAACUGCGAACGGCUCAUUAGUCAGAUAAGGUUCCUUGGCUAAAAGCGGGUCGGUUUUAAUGGAUAACUGUGGUAAUUCUAGAGCUAAUACAUGCAACGCACCGUGGUCCCCGUAGUCUUCUCGUCUCGGGGAAACGGCAUUUAUUCUCUGGACCAGAUCGCCCUAGCCUGCGAAGCUACCGUCAAAAGUAGCGACGGGGCGAAGCGACAAGUGUUGAAAUCCGAAUAACUGUGCCGAUCGCGGGGUCUUUCCGGGCCCCCGACGACUUUGCCAUGAAGUGUCUGUCCCAUCAAUUGGCGAUGGUCGGCGACCUGCCUACCACGGUGUUGACGGGUAACGGGGAAUCAGGGUUCGAUUCCGGAGAGGGAGCCUGCGAAACGGCUACCACCUCCAAGGAGGGCAGCAGGCGCGCAACUUACCCAAUCCCGACACGGGGAGGUAGUGACGAANAAUAACGUGGCGGGGCCCUUUCGUGGUCGCCGCGGGCGGAAUGAGCGCAAUUUAAAAGAGUGUGCGAGGAGCUAUUGGAGGGCAAGCCUGGUGCCAGCAGCCGCGGUAAUUCCAGCUCCAAUAGCCUAUAUC
RNAcentral lists this non-coding RNA (674 nucleotides) under Lottia gigantea (owl limpet). RNAcentral's name for it is "eukaryotic small subunit ribosomal RNA". It matches the Rfam family "Eukaryotic small subunit ribosomal RNA", at positions 4 to 605 of the family's 1831-position model. Lineage: Eukaryota; Metazoa; Mollusca; Gastropoda; Lottiidae. The record is from Rfam by way of RNAcentral.